This 253-nucleotide ribosomal RNA is filed under the name uncultured bacterium. Its description in RNAcentral is "partial 16S ribosomal RNA". It matches the Rfam family "Bacterial small subunit ribosomal RNA", at positions 524 to 776 of the family's 1533-position model. The record is from RNAcentral.
UACGGAGGGUGCGAGCGUUAAUCGGAAUUACUGGGCGUAAAGCGCACGUAGGCGGCUUAGUAAGUCGAUUGUGAAAGCCCCGGGCUUAACCUGGGAACUGCAGUCGAUACUGCUUUGCUUGAGUGUGGUAGAGGGAAGCGGAAUUCCAGGUGUAGCGGUGAAAUGCGUAGAUAUCUGGAGGAACAUCAGUGGCGAAGGCGGCUUCCUGGACCAACACUGACGCUCAGGUGCGAAAGCGUGGGUAGCAAACAGG